This 252-nucleotide ribosomal RNA is filed under the name uncultured bacterium. RNAcentral's name for it is "partial 16S ribosomal RNA". It matches the Rfam family "Bacterial small subunit ribosomal RNA", at positions 524 to 776 of the family's 1533-position model. The record is from RNAcentral.
UAUGUAGGGGGCAAGCGUUAUCCGGAUUUACUGGGUGUAAAGGGAGCGUAGACGGCAUGCAAGUCAGAUGUGAAAGCCCGGGGCUCAACUCCGGGACUGCAUUUGAAACUGUCAGGCUGGAGUGCAGGAGAGGUAAGUGGAAUUCCUAGUGUAGCGGUGAAAUGCGUAGAUAUUAGGAGGAACACCAGUGGCGAAGGCGGCUUACUGGACUGUAACUGACGUUGAGGCUCGAAAGCGUGGGGAGCAAACAGG